RNAcentral lists this ribosomal RNA (458 nucleotides) under uncultured bacterium. RNAcentral describes it as "bacterial SSU rRNA". It matches the Rfam family "Bacterial small subunit ribosomal RNA", at positions 28 to 507 of the family's 1533-position model. The record is from RNAcentral.
GACGAACGCUGGCGGCGUGCUUAACACAUGCAAGUUGAACGGGUCAUAUAUGAAGGGUAACCGGAGUGUAUGGCUAGUGGCGAACGGGUGAGUAAUGCAUGAGAACGUAUCCUCAAGAGGGGGACAACAUUGGGAAACCGAUGCUAAUACCCCAUAAGCCGGGAGGUAAAAGGAGCAAUCCGCUUGAGGAGCGGCUCAUGUCCUAUCAGCUGGUUGGUGAGGUAACGGCUCACCAAGGCGAAGACGGGUAGCCGGCCUGAGAGGGUGAACGGCCACACUGGAACUGAGAGACGGUCCAGACUCCUACGGGAGGCAGCAGGUGGGGAAUAUUGGGCAAUGGGGGAAACCCUGACCCAGCGACGCCGCGUGAGGGAAGAAGGCCUUAGGGUCGUAAACCUCUGUUGUGUGGGAAGAAGAGCGUGACGGUACCACACGAGGAAGUCCCGGCUAACUACGUG